Molecule: ribosomal RNA, 35 nt
Filed under: Odontites lanceolatus
Lineage: Eukaryota; Viridiplantae; Streptophyta; Magnoliopsida; Lamiales; Orobanchaceae
Description: partial 28S ribosomal RNA
Source: RNAcentral
CCGCGACCCCAGGUCAGGCGGGAUUACCCGCUGAG